RNAcentral lists this ribosomal RNA (66 nucleotides) under Fusarium oxysporum. RNAcentral describes it as "partial 28S ribosomal RNA". The record is from RNAcentral. Lineage: Eukaryota; Fungi; Ascomycota; Sordariomycetes; Hypocreales; Nectriaceae.
AACUUCUGAAUGUUGACCUCGGAUCAGGUAGGAAUACCCGCUGAACUUAAGCAUAUCAAUAAGCGG